AAUUCUGCUCUCAGUGUUCCUAAGCAGACCUUCAGAUGGCACUUAACAAGUCUAAUGGAUCUGAGGAGAUGGUGCUCCAGUGUUAGCUGAGCUUCUUUUCAGUCCAGUCGGGUCUGAGCACAGUGAAUUCCUUUCCUUGCUAUUUUUUUCAAUGGGGAAAAGCCAAGAGUCAGCAAUAUGCAAGGUGCCUGCAAUAGGAAGCUGGUCCCAGGAAACCAGAACAGAAUCUCUGCCCACCCAGCAGGGCUGGGGUUUUCUUCUUUGUUCAACUACUUUUGAAAAUAAACCCUCAGUAUAAGGAUGCCAGAAAGCACAGUAAAACCUGCAGCCUCUUGUAGACCCAGAGCAGACACUUCUGGCUGAAGUAGGAGCUAGGAAUUUUGCAGAAAGAGAGAGAAAGACCAGCAUGAAAAAAACAGAAGAAAAAGAGAAAAAGGGUUGGGGAAACUACAGUGAAAGAGGUAAGUUGAAGACAGAGUCACAAUGAAAUUAAAGUUGGCAUUAGAAAUACAUAAUGG
Passer domesticus (house sparrow) is the source of this 518-nucleotide long non-coding RNA. RefSeq lists it as uncharacterized. Lineage: Eukaryota; Metazoa; Chordata; Aves; Passeriformes; Passeridae. The record is from RefSeq and is a predicted model, not a curated record. The transcript has 3 exons.